RNAcentral lists this ribosomal RNA (961 nucleotides) under uncultured beta proteobacterium. RNAcentral's name for it is "bacterial SSU rRNA". It matches the Rfam family "Bacterial small subunit ribosomal RNA", at positions 8 to 967 of the family's 1533-position model. Lineage: Bacteria; Pseudomonadati; Pseudomonadota; Betaproteobacteria. The record is from RNAcentral.
AGAGUUUGAUCCUGGCUCAGAUUGAACGCUGAGGCUUAACACAUGCAAGUCGAACGGCAGCGCGGACUUCGGUCUGGCGGCGAGUGGCGAACGGGUGAGUAAUGUAUCGGAACGUACCUUUCAGUGGGGGAUACCGUAGCGAAAGUUACGCUAAUACCGCAUAUUCUGUGAGCAGGAAAGCAGGGGAUCGCAAGACCUUGCGCUGAUUGAGCGGCCGAUAUCAGAUUAGCUAGUUGGUGAGGUAAAGGCUCACCAAGGCGACGAUCUGUAGCGGGUCUGAGAGGAUGAUCCGCCACACUGGAACUGAGACACGGUCCAGACUCCUACGGGAGGCAGCAGUGGGGAAUUUUGGACAAUGGGGGCAACCCUGAUCCAGCCAUGCCGCGUGAGUGAAGAAGGCCUUCGGGUUGUAAAGCUCUUUCGGCCGGGAAGAAAUCGUACGGGUUAAUACCCUGUGCGGAUGACGGUACCGGCAUAAGAAGCACCGGCUAACUACGUGCCAGCAGCCGCGGUAAUACGUAGGGUGCGAGCGUUAAUCGGAAUUACUGGGCGUAAAGCGUGCGCAGGCGGUUUUGUAAGACAGGCGUGAAAUCCCCGGGCUCAACCUGGGAACUGCGCUUGUGACUGCAAGGCUAGAGUAUGGCAGAGGGGGGUGGAAUUCCACGUGUAGCAGUGAAAUGCGUAGAGAUGUGGAGGAACACCAAUGGCGAAGGCAGCCCCCUGGGCCAAUACUGACGCUCAUGCACGAAAGCGUGGGUAGCACACAGGAUUAGAUACCCUGGUAGUCCACGCCCUAAACGAUGUCAACUAGGUGUUGGGUGGGUAAAACCAUUUAGUACCGUAGCUAACGCGUGAAGUUGACCGCCUGGGGGAGUACGGCCGCAAGGUUAAAACUCAAAGGAAUUGACGGGGACCCGCACAAGCGGUGGAUGAUGUGGAUUAAUUCGAUGCAACGCGAAAA